Molecule: transfer RNA, 72 nt
Filed under: Cafeteria roenbergensis
Lineage: Eukaryota; Bigyra; Bicosoecida; Cafeteriaceae
Description: tRNA-Thr
Source: RNAcentral
UGCCUCAACCAGGGAUCGAACCUGAGACCUCGACAUUACUAGUGUCGCGCUCUACCACUGAGCUAUUAAGGC